This 1289-nucleotide long non-coding RNA is filed under the name Phaseolus vulgaris (common bean). Its description in RNAcentral is "long non-coding RNA (PVUL_LNC001755)". Lineage: Eukaryota; Viridiplantae; Streptophyta; Magnoliopsida; Fabales; Fabaceae. The record is from RNAcentral.
CCACAAUAGAGAGAAAACAUUGUGCGGUACCCCAUUGGGAGAGUUACACAAGGUCAGGUAUGCAGAUUUCACAGAAAACAAAAACACCAUUUGAAUCCCCACUCCACAUGAUAACAUCCUCAGAUUCCUUUCUCAGAAUCUUCCCUGUAAUAAGGUUCAUCAACUCUUCCUCCAUAUAGCUUUCCUACUCGAAUCUAGGCCUUCUCCACCUUAACCUCCAUGACCACUCUAUAGCCUUUCAGGAGCCUACCUCGCCCACCAUCUUUCCUUGAUCCAAAGAAAUGAUAUACAACCUGGGGAACAAAUGUUUAACCUUAUUAUUGUCCACCCAGGCAUCGUCCCAGAAACUAAUUUUAUCCCUGGAUCCAACUUUCCAUGUAACAGAAUUGUGGAACCAACCCUCACCUUCUCCCUCUCCACAUGCCUUGGAAAGAUCACUUCACCACCAGGAGUGACGCUUACCAGAGUCUUCAUUUCUAACAUCACCAUUAUAAUACUUAGAUACUAAGAUCUCUUUCCAUUUCCCUUUUUUCUCACUCAUUAAUCUCCACUUCCACUUUACUAGCAAGGCUCGAUUAAAUUAUAAUAUCUUUGACCCCCAAUCCUCCUUCCUCCUUUACUUUGCAUACAUUUUCCCACCGGACCCAAGAAAUAUGUUUGUGAUCUUUGCCUUAUGCCCAAAGGAAACUUCUCUGGAUGCUCGAGAUUUUGUUACAAACUGAUGUUGGGACUUAAAAGAAAGAGAGAUAAAACAAAGGUAUUUGAUACGCAACCUAUAUAAAUGAUCUCUACUGGAUAUGCAUAUUUGAUAGAAGAACCAUUCUAUUUUGACAUCAAUAAUUUUUUACACAUAUUUUAUAUCCUUCAUCUUUUCUUUUCUUUUACAAAUACAAAAGUUCAUUUUUUAAUAACCAUAUUAUUAUUCAGAGUGGAUCAUCAACUUGUUGAUGAAGUUUCAAAACAUUAUUUCCAAAUACAAUUCAACACUUGUCUUUCUUCUCAAACCUCUCUCCAAAACUAUAAAUUUAUUAUAUAUACAAUGAGUAGCAUUAUCCUAUAAUAUAUAUCAUGCAUUAUAUUUGCAAACUAAGUUGCAUCUCACAAGUUCUUAUUUAAUUCCUUAACCUUUACCCUUCAAACCAAGCUAUACGUAAACAUAUGAUCAUUCAUCACAUAUACCACAUACACAGAACGUAGUCUCAGAGGAGGGAAUCAACAAUGAGUCUGAAUUCAUCCAAGCUCACAGCUCCAUCUCCGUCUGCAUCAAGAGAAGCAACAAGGUGCAGACA